AAUGUGCCGUGUUCCCAACCGACACCCAGUAUGAUGUAAAUCUGUGCAAGCCCCGGCCGAUGCCCUGCCUGAGUGUGAAGGGCACCGUCCAGACACCGAAGGCACACCCACUCCCCCGCUAACCCAGGCCAGGAGGUAGCCUGGCUCCUGUCAUGUUCACACAGCCCAGACCCUAGACAGAGGCGCGCUCGCUGGAAGGCCUGAGGCCAGUGCCCCAGGGGCCCUGGGAAAGGACAGGGCUUUCUUGGGCAAUGGAAGGCACCCAACCCACCUGUGCAGCCCAUGUGCUACUAGGGUACCAAGUGCCAGGCACAUGCAAGGUGCCCAAACCUGUUCACUCCUGUGACCUUCUCCUGAACCCAAGUGUCACAGUCAGCCUUGGAGAACCAGAGUACACAGCUGGGGAGGAGGCCACGGACAGGAAUGUCGGUGGACUCCCACGCGGCACUGGUGCUCUUCAGCACCCCGCGCACACCUGGGUCCCUGCACGGCUGCCACAAGCCAUGUUCGCUGAGCGUUGACGGGAUUUCCUGCAUCUCCUAGGACAGAAGCAUCUGUGAGUCCAAUGCGGAGCAAACACAGAACCAGACCAGCCCUGGGAACCUCCUGGUGGGGGCGGGGGGAGGGGGUAGUUCCAGCUCUGAGCCCUGGCCUGGGGCCCUCUGCACCCACUCACCUAAUGUGUCUACAACAGAACCUCCAUAGCCAGGGUCCCCUCCCCAGCAUGGAGAACCUCUCUACGGGGCCAUGGGGCCUCCCCCACCCCCAGGGCGGCAACAGUGUGAGUACUGGUGGGGCCAGACCUGAGGCGACACAGCCUCACCAGCCCUCCAAGACUUGCCGGCAGAGGUGGACCACGUGCAGGAAGGUGGGGCUCUGCUGUAUCACAGUCCCGUGCACCACACGGGGGCGUUGCCCACAUCACAGCAUGGAUGUCCCGGGGGAGGGGCGACCCCGCCCACAUCACAGUGCGGACUUCACACGGCCUCUCCCCCACGUCACGGUUUCAAAAUUGUUUUCAGUCACAAACACAAAAGAGCCUUUUGCUGCAGUCAGAGCACUGUGCCCAAGUGCCAGGAGGUCAGGGCACCGUUGGGAGCCAGGAGGACAGAGGAUACUCGAUGGCUUGACACAGUGAGGAAACAUCAGGGCACUGGGUUGUCAAGGCAGCCCCACCUGAUUCACUCCAGGACUUUGAACAAACUCUUCCCUUCUGUGGCCCUCACAUUCUGCAUUGGGAAAAUGAUGGCCUGUACAAGGUGAGAUUUUUUUUUUUACAUUAUUUCUUACUAAUUAUAUGUUACCGUUAGAAAAAAUGAAAUGGAUUUCAGUAAUGUUAAAAUUCACCCACCAUCCUACCAUUAGGUCCUACCAACAUUGACAUUUCUGUGAAUCCACAAAACUGAAUCUUUCUCGGUUCCUACAAGGCUGACCUGGUGUGGAGAACGGAACUGUGGCAGAAGCUGGUCAGGUAGGCCGUGGCCUCUGCCUGCCCCACCCCACCCCUCGGUCCCACUCUGGGAAAUGCUUGUGGGGGUGGAGGGUGAAGGUGGGUGGGGUGGGAUGGGGUGUGGAGAAGGGGUGAAAAGGAUAAGGGAGUA
This 1601-nucleotide long non-coding RNA is filed under the name Suricata suricatta (meerkat). Its description in RNAcentral is "lncRNA (ENSSSUG00005001479.1)". Lineage: Eukaryota; Metazoa; Chordata; Mammalia; Carnivora; Herpestidae. The record is from RNAcentral.